Molecule: long non-coding RNA, 1999 nt
Organism: Piliocolobus tephrosceles (Ugandan red Colobus)
Lineage: Eukaryota; Metazoa; Chordata; Mammalia; Primates; Cercopithecidae
Source: Ensembl
CCUGUAAUCCCAGGUACUCACAAGGCUGAGGCAGGAGAAUCGCUUGGACCCAGGAGGUGGAGGUUGCAGUGAGCUGAGAUCGCACCAUUGCACUCCAGCCUGGGAGAGAGAGCGAGACUCCUUCUCAAAAAAAAAAAAAAAAAGGUCAGGCUGGUCUCGAACUCCUGACCUCAAGUGAUCCGCCUGGCUUCGGCCCCUCAAAAUGCUGGGAUUACAGGCAUGAAUCACCGCGCCCGGCCCCACCGUUUAUUUUUAAACCCAUAGACUUGCUGGUCGCGCUUCUGUGCCCGGUGGGGCUUUUGUCCAUUUGACACCACUUUUGCAGCUCGGCCCCUUGGGGCUGAGGGAGGAUUUGAGCUCCUCUGGCCGAUGCUGUCCACCAGUUCCCUGGCCAGCCCCUGCAGGAGCUCCUUUCUUGUUUCUGCACGGGCACCUCCCAGCAGCAAGCCCGUCCCUGCCCGAGCUGGCCUGUCCCUGCGUAAGAGCCGGUCAGCCCCGGGCUGUUUUCUCACAGCUCAGUUCAUUCCCCUCCCUCCUCCUCCAGGGUCUCUCUCUUGUUUUCCUCCUCACCUGGAAUGCCCUCGGUUCAGGCUUUCACCAUCUCCACCUGCUCCGGCUCCUGCAUUUCUUCUCCCCGUCUGAUGUCACCUUGUGCUUCAGUGACAUCUUGAAGUUUCCGGACUCCCACCCGCCUCCCCUCUGCUAGUCUUUAUGGGAGCCGGCAUCUUCUUCUUCGGCCUGAGCAUCGUUUUUUUUGCUUUAUCUGUAGAAGCGGCUUCUACCUCAAGAGCAGGGAGCGGAGCUUGGUUUCGGGAUCUCGGUGCUGCAGACUGCAAGACCUCCUGCACAGGUCGGUGCUGUGACUCAUUUCUUUGCUCUGAUUUGAGGCUUGGUUGGCUGUUUUGUACCCUGAAUCGAAGACGUGGGGUUGCCGUCAAGGCGGUUGUCUUGGCCUUGACCUGGGUCUGUGGGCUUUUUGUAUCCGCCAAGUGUGAGUAAUGGGGAGCGGGUGCGGGGGAACAGCUGCUAGCCCCUGGCAGAGUUUCCCACCCACGAGGCCGGGAACGUGGCACUCACUGGUCCUACUGGUGCCGGAGCCCCUGGACGGGGUCAGGGUGGGAAGCCCUCGGCGGUGCUGCCUGCCUUUCCCGUGUCUUCGCGCCGUGGUAGGGAGUUUGAAGGAAGGUGCCUCGGCCUUCACCCCUAUCUCCCGUGCACCUGGAGAAUAACCCGUCGCUGGCCCUUUAACUCUCCUCUGUUGGUUUACUGCUCGUUUUUCUCCCUAAAGAAUCAUGAGCGACUUUUAAAAUGUAGGAAGAGGAAAUCAUUUAAAAAUAAGUAGAAAGGCAGGCAGAAAUGUCCAGAAAAGGCAAAGCCGUAGGGACAGAAAGGGACUUGUGGUGGCCGGAGGCUGGGGAUGUGCAUGUGCGCCGGGGACUUGCCAGGGACAUAUAAAUGGACCCAGUGGUCGGCUGGGGGUGGCUGCAAACCUGGUGAACUUACUAAAAAAUCUUUUUUUAAAAAGUUUUAAUUUUUUUUUUAAGAGUUAGGGUCUUGGCCAGGCAUGGUGGCUCAUGCCUGUAAUCCCAGCACUUUGGGAGGCUGAGGCGGGUGGAUCACCCGAGGUCAGGAGUUCCAGACCAGCCUGACCAACUUGGUGAAACCCCAUCUCUACUAAAAAUAGGAAAAUUAGCUGGGCGUGGUGGUGCAGGCCUGUAAUUCAAGCUACUCGGGAGGCUGAGGCACGAGAAUCACUUGAGCCUGGGAGGCGGUGGUUGCAGUGAGCUGAGAUCAUGCCACUGCACUCCAGCCUGGGCGACAGAGUGAGACUCCUUCUUAAAAAAAAAAGAGAGAAGAAAAAAGAGAAAAAGAAAAGAAAGAAAGCUAAAAAAAAAAAAAAAAAAACCCAGAAGAGUUAGGGUUUGCUUUGUUGCCCAGGCUGGUCUUGAACUCCUUGGCUUAAGUGAUCCUCCUACUUUGACCUCCCAAAGUGCCAGGA